RNAcentral lists this ribosomal RNA (628 nucleotides) under uncultured bacterium. RNAcentral describes it as "bacterial SSU rRNA". It matches the Rfam family "Bacterial small subunit ribosomal RNA", at positions 56 to 731 of the family's 1533-position model. The record is from RNAcentral.
UGCAGUCGAGCGCACUCUUCGGAGUGAGCGGCGGACGGGUUAGUAACGCGUGGGAACGUACCCAGAUCUACGGAAUAGCCUCGGGAAACUGAGAGUAAUACCGUAUACGCCCUUCGGGGGAAAGAUUUAUCGGAUUUGGAUCGGCCCGCGUUAGAUUAGAUAGUUGGUGAGGUAACGGCUCACCAAGUCUACGAUCUAUAGCUGGUUUUAGAGGAUGAUCAGCAACACUGGGACUGAGACACGGCCCAGACUCCUACGGGAGGCAGCAGUGGGGAAUCUUGGACAAUGGGCGCAAGCCUGAUCCAGCCAUGCCGCGUGAGUGAUGAAGGCCUUAGGGUCGUAAAGCUCUUUCGCCAGGGAUGAUAAUGACAGUACCUGGUAAAGAAACCCCGGCUAACUCCGUGCCAGCAGCCGCGGUAAUACGGAGGGGGUUAGCGUUGUUCGGAAUUACUGGGCGUAAAGCGCACGUAGGCGGAUCAGAAAGUAAGGGGUGAAAUCCCAGGGCUCAACCCUGGAACUGCCUCUUAAACUCCUGGUCUUGAGUUCGAGAGAGGUGAGUGGAAUUCCGAGUGUAGAGGUGAAAUUCGUAGAUAUUCGGAGGAACACCAGUGGCGAAGGCGGCUCACUG